Long non-coding RNA from Nematolebias whitei (Rio pearlfish), 495 nucleotides. RefSeq lists it as uncharacterized. The record is from RefSeq and is a predicted model, not a curated record. Lineage: Eukaryota; Metazoa; Chordata; Actinopteri; Cyprinodontiformes; Rivulidae. The transcript has 3 exons.
GAGUUCAGAGUCCAGUCUGAGAGGACAGAGAAGAAGAACGAGGACUGAAAGCUGAAUCAGGGUGAAGGUAGAAAGUGUGUGUGAGCUGAUGUGGAUUCAGCAGCAUGGAUCAGUGUGAGGACCGAGAGGAGGGAGUCCCUCCCUCUAAAACCACUCUGUGUGGGGAACAUGAGAGCCAGAGCCAAGAUCAGAGGAAGAAACAUGGACCAGAACCAGAACUGGAACCUGGAUCUGAACUUGGACCUGGACCCAGCUGUGUGUCCUUUAAGAGCAACAUGUCAAAGGAUCUUCCUUUUGAAUUCAAACAAAGUGUUUCAUCCAACAAACAGUACGUUUUUCUCAGUGUUCAGUUGAGGCUGGAUGAUGUUAAAGAUAACUGUUGAUUUUUAUUUCAUUAUGCUGAGAAACUAUUGUGGAAUAGGGAGAAUCAUUUUGAAAGGAUGUUGACUGUGUGGUGAACAGAGCAGCGAUGACAGAAUCCAGCAGGGAAACAGA